AUGCGUCUAACAUAUCACAUCUUCUUUUUCUUCAGAUUCAAACGGCGGCAAAGGAGUAGGAGAACGUACGGUGCGUCUUUGACAACAACGAACAAAGAUAGAACACUGGAUAAUUCUCGCUCCAGAUUGUCCAUGAGUGAUGAAGAUGUGAAGCAGUUUGCAGAAAUUCCUAGGGAGGAUGAAGGGAAAUUCAGAGAUUGGAGGGGUUUGGAAUUCGAUGGUGCGAGGAUGAAAAGCCAAGUUUGA
This is a non-coding RNA of Vicia faba (fava bean), 246 nucleotides long. NCBI's taxonomy places the organism in Eukaryota, Viridiplantae, Streptophyta, Magnoliopsida, Fabales, Fabaceae. The record is from the annotation of a GenBank genome assembly.